CACACACCGCCUAACCUCACCCUGACAUACACACACACCGCCUAACCUCACCCUGACAUACACACACACCGCCUAACCUCACCCUGACAUACACACACACACCGCCUAACCUCACCCUGACAUACACACUGUCACUCUCACUGUCUGACUGUGUGAUGUUGUGUGUUUCAGAUGUGAAGGGUGACUCCUCUCUACCUGCUCAGGAUAGCGUGUCGUGUGGCCGCAGUAGUGGUGGCUCUACCUCUUCUCUCUCCACCCCCCCUUCCAUCUCCCACAGCCCCCCCCAGCCGCCUCAGCUCAACGGGGUUGCCAUGGGAACAAUGCUGCUGGGAGGGGGAGCUGGGCUAGGGAUGGGGGGGAUAGUGGGGGUUCUGAACAGAGUCAUACAGACCACUUCCAGCCCUCACACAUACAGCUACACACAUACCUCCUCACCGGGCCCCAGCACCGCUCUGCCCAUCUCCAGCUCCAUCAACACCAGGUUGGGUGCCUUGUCUGAGCAGCAGAGGCUCUUACUGCACCAGAACCAACUACAACAGCUACUGUCUUCACAGCCCUCUGCGGAACAGCAGCAGGUGUUAUUUUACCAGUUGAUGCAGCAACAACAAGACCUCCACCAACUCCAGUCUUCCUCCUCCCAGCUUCCCUCCAUCCCUCUCUCCUCUGCUCAGCUGCCCAUCACCUCCCUUCUUUCCUCCUCCAACGCCCACGGCACCAUCACCGCCAACCCCUUCCUGGCUCGGCACACACACCCCGACACACACACACACCCCGACACACACACACACGCCGCUGCACAGAAGCCCCGGCUGGCUGAGAAAGCUGUUGGAGUCACUGGACAGGAGAAGACCUGACCCACAAAACAUAUCUCUCUCUUUUCUCUAUCCAUCUCUCUCUCUCUCUUUCUGUUGGUGAUUCUGUCUACUCUCUAUCCAUCUCUCUAUUCAUCCAUCUCUCUCGCUCUCUCUCUCUCUCUCUCUCUCUCUCUCUCAGGGGUCUCCACCAUCAUGUGAUCAGUGCUGUGUGUUUAACCACACAAGCUCACCCACAUAGAACUACAAACUCCAAAAAACGAUCAGGACACUAACAUAGCUGACUGACUCACAGCUCAGCUGGAGAGAUGCGGUCUGGGAAGUAUGACUCUCAUUGGACAGUUUUAAGAGAGGGAGGAGUUUGUAACUGCUUUUACCUCUCUAUAUCUGUGUGUAUGGACCAGCAUAAGACCUGACCAGAGACCACUCUAAUGUAAGACUGACUGACUGCUCAGCCAUGGAAGCCUUGCUAUGACUGUCUUUCUGCUGUACCUACCUCACACACACAAACCAGCCGAUUAGUGCCCACAACUCUCAGCAUCGGCCAAUAGGAAUCCACAACAUUCAUGACUGGCCAGUCAGGGUCCAAUCCCCAAGUGCCUAAAGCCGAGGGGGCGGGGUUACUCAUACUCCUCUUCCUGUCUCUCCUGUCAGACAUCCAUUCUCACCAUAUUACUGGCUGUCAAGCUGCGUUGCCCAGGCAACAGGUCACACAACACAUUCUGAGAAGCUGGAAGCUGUAUUGUGCUGCUUUCACAAACUACAGAAACAAACUUUAUAAAUGGUCUCUUUUUAUUUAUUUAGAAGUGCCCGCUGUUCUUACAAGCGUUUGUUUUAUACUAAUGUUUGAAGUUUUUCUCACUCUUGCUGUAAACAUUUUUGAUGGAAACAGAUACUUGUUGUGUACUCAGAAAGAUUGAAGUAGUGGUGGUGGUGUAUAUAGCUGCUAUUGUGGGGAGGGGUGUGGAUUCAAUAACACAGUUUUUACCUCGUUUGUGUAAAUAAAUAUAUAUUUUUCAUUGGCUGUGGGGUGUAAAUAAGUGAUUGUGAUUGGCCCUGCUGGUGUGAAGGAUAGCCAAUAAACCUCAUUUUGUGUGACUCUUAUGAGCAGACAACAGGAGACGGUGACUGAACACAAAGUGUUAAUUUAUUUUUAUAUGUGCAGCGACAUUGUUUCGUUGUUUUUCUAAGUUUCACAACGGUUAUUUUAUACUCGGCACCAUGUUUCCGUCUGUGUUCACUUUUGUUUGGAUCAGUUUUGUACAACUGAAAAAUCAUAAAACAUCCUCAAAUGUUUCUAUUUCAAGUCACUGAAAUAAAGAAGCGUUCCGGAUAAAGAAAGAGACGGACUGUUGGUGAAAAGACGAGGAGGAGGACUUACAGGAAGCCUGUGUCGGGAUGUCGUCAUGGUUUGGUUUGUGAGAACAUCGGUAAAGCUUGAUUUAACAGCUCUGUUCAAGUGCUUUUUGUAAAAUGCAUUUUAAUGCUUUGGUUGAAUAAAGAACAGAUCUACCUCCCUAAACCUUCUGUCUAAUAACAGGUUUCUCUUUGUUUAACCUCUUUACCCCCCAUCUCUGGAUGGAGGGAUGACAAACAGACUCUCACACUCUCUCUCGUUUGCCGUCUUCUGUCUAGUGUUUAGCAGUUUCU
This is a long non-coding RNA of Oncorhynchus tshawytscha (Chinook salmon), 2462 nucleotides long. The record is from Ensembl. NCBI's taxonomy places the organism in Eukaryota, Metazoa, Chordata, Actinopteri, Salmoniformes, Salmonidae.